This is a long non-coding RNA of Panonychus citri (citrus red mite), 977 nucleotides long. RefSeq lists it as uncharacterized. Lineage: Eukaryota; Metazoa; Arthropoda; Arachnida; Trombidiformes; Tetranychidae. The transcript has 3 exons. The record is from RefSeq and is a predicted model, not a curated record.
AUAUCUGAUUGUUUUCUUAUUGAUUAACUUGUCUAGAUAACAAUUAUCUAAAACCAAUUGAAUUUAGUUGCAUUUCAGAGCUCAAAGCGUUUUAUUUUUGACACCCUUUAAUUGGAUUGUACUCUUACCUCUCAAACUAAUUACACCACAAAUAUAUAAUAACAUUGAAAAUUAUCUAUAUGAUUGGUGUCUUUACAUGGUCCUGGUAUUUUUGUCUAUAAUAUUGGAGCUGAAUUACCUGAUGCAAGGAAAAAUGGACUUGGAGGAGUUAAAAACAACAACACUAGUAAACCUGUUCAAUUGUGCCUUGUUGGUAAUCAUCAAUGUACCGGAGAUUUGCCCCUGAAGGAGGAUUUAGAUAUAAAGAUUGCUCAGAAAUAAUGAAUUCGCAAUGAAAAACAAUCUACCCCUUCUUCAUCGUACCGAAGUAUAAGAUUUACAUCAAAUGGCUCUGUCCAAAGCCUUUGGAAGGCAAAAAAGUCCUUAGGGUAUGGAUUCUGUACUGAUAAUGAAGCGUUUUGUCAAAGCCAAGGGUCAAGGUCAAAGAAAGGAAAAAGCUAUUAAGGAAAAAAUUAAUCGCCAUGAGAAAAAAAAAGUCCAAAGGCUUACGAACGAUUAAAGAUGCUACUCAACAUUGUGAUGCCGAUUUUCAUAGUUAGUAUUUAUAUUAAGGAAGAAAGUUCUGAAUUGUUGACUAUUAUUUUCCAGAACAAUAAUCCUCUCUAAUUCAACAUCUAAUGGAUUUCAUGUUGUUAAGCUGAUUGCAUGAUGAAAACAAGAAUCUUGAAAUUAAUUCCAAUCAUUUUAUAACCUAAAUAUUAAUAACAUGAAACAUGACAAAGAUUGUCAACCUAAGCUCAAUCUUUACCUAUUAUCCUGAAAUUAUUCUGAUUAACAUGAUCAUGAAUAUUGAUGAAUAAUAAUAAAUAAUCAGGUUAAUUCCUUUAACCAUCAAAGGAAAACUUAUUCCCAAAACU